GCCCUUGAAAUAAUCAAAGGUGUAACCUGCCCAAUGGCUCAAAAGUUUAUAAAAUUAAUCUAUUUAAAAGAGAGCUUAAAGGACGCAGUAUCCUGACUGUGAUAAUGUAGCAUAAUCACUCGCCACUUAAUUGGUGGAUAGUAUGAAUGGUUGAACGAAUAUUACACUCGUCUCCUCUAGAAAAUUCUUUAAAUUGAAAUAAUAGUAAAGAUGCUAUUUAAAACUGUAAGACGAAAAGACCCUAUAGAGCUUAACUAUAUUCUAUAAUAAAUAAAUGAAACAAAUAAUUUUUCCAAAUCAUAGAACGGUAGUUUAGUUGGGGCGACUUUCUUUUAUACUUAACAAAGAUAAGCAAUGUUAAUAUCAACACUUAUUGUAUAAUACAUAAAUUUAACAAUUACAAUAGUAGGCUAUAAUGACCCAUUAGAAUUAAAAGACAAAUCUAAUGAUCAAUAAAUAAAAGCUACCUUAGGGAUAACAGGAUAAUUUUGUUUUAGAGAUCAUAUCGAAGACAAAGUUUGUCACCUCUAUGUUGAAUUAAGAUAACCUAAUAAUGCAGAAGUUAUUAAAGGUAGGUCUGUUCGACCUAUAAAAUCUUA
This 599-nucleotide ribosomal RNA is filed under the name Rhizorhagium arenosum. RNAcentral's name for it is "partial 16S ribosomal RNA". It matches the Rfam family "Bacterial large subunit ribosomal RNA", at positions 1833 to 2598 of the family's 2925-position model. The record is from RNAcentral. Lineage: Eukaryota; Metazoa; Cnidaria; Hydrozoa; Anthoathecata; Bougainvilliidae.